This 576-nucleotide ribosomal RNA is filed under the name Streptomyces koyangensis. Its description in RNAcentral is "bacterial SSU rRNA". It matches the Rfam family "Bacterial small subunit ribosomal RNA", at positions 60 to 654 of the family's 1533-position model. The record is from RNAcentral. Lineage: Bacteria; Bacillati; Actinomycetota; Actinomycetes; Kitasatosporales; Streptomycetaceae.
AGUCGACGAUGAAGCCCUUCGGGGUGGAUUAGUGGCGAACGGGUGAGUAACACGUGGGCAAUCUGCCCUGCACUCUGGGACAAGCCCUGGAAACGGGGUCUAAUACCGGAUAUGACUGUCCACCGCAUGGUGGAUGGUGUAAAGCUCCGGCGGUGCAGGAUGAGCCCGCGGCCUAUCAGCUUGUUGGUGAGGUAGUGGCUCACCAAGGCGACGACGGGUAGCCGGCCUGAGAGGGCGACCGGCCACACUGGGACUGAGACACGGCCCAGACUCCUACGGGAGGCAGCAGUGGGGAAUAUUGCACAAUGGGCGAAAGCCUGAUGCAGCGACGCCGCGUGAGGGAUGACGGCCUUCGGGUUGUAAACCUCUUUCAGCAGGGAAGAAGCGAAAGUGACGGUACCUGCAGAAGAAGCGCCGGCUAACUACGUGCCAGCAGCCGCGGUAAUACGUAGGGCGCAAGCGUUGUCCGGAAUUAUUGGGCGUAAAGAGCUCGUAGGCGGCUUGUCACGUCGGUUGUGAAAGCCCGGGGCUUAACCCCGGGUCUGCAGUCGAUACGGGCAGGCUAGAGUUCGGUAG